This 500-nucleotide long non-coding RNA is filed under the name Pan troglodytes (chimpanzee). RNAcentral describes it as "long non-coding RNA NONPTRT004990". The record is from RNAcentral. Lineage: Eukaryota; Metazoa; Chordata; Mammalia; Primates; Hominidae.
CCCAGGUUCAGGUGUGGUCAGGGUCUCUGGGUCGGCCCCGUGGGCACCUGGGUUCCCUUUCUCUCUCUCCUGCCCUCUCUGUGGCACUCAGCCCAGAUGGUGAUCGGGUGGCUGUUGGAUAUCGAGCGGAUGGCAUUAGGAUCUACAAAAUCUCUUCAGGUUCCCAGGGGGCUCAGGGUCAGGCACUGGAUGUGGCAGUGUCCGCCCUGGCCUGGCUAAGCCCCAAGGUGUUGGUGAGUGGUGCAGAAGAUGGGUCCUUGCAGGGCUGGGCACUCAAGGAAUGCUCCCUUCAGUCCCUCUGGCUCCUGUCCAGAUUCCAGAAGCCUGUGCUAGGACUGGCCACUUCCCAGGAGCUCUUGGCUUCUGCCUCAGAGGAUUUCACAGUGCAGCUGUGGCCAAGGCAGCUGCUGAUGCGGCCACACAAGGCAGAAGACUUUCCCUGUGGCACUGAGCUGCGGGGACAUGAGGGCCCUGUGAGCUGCUGUAGUUUCAGCACUGAU